Molecule: long non-coding RNA, 766 nt
Filed under: Salmo salar (Atlantic salmon)
Lineage: Eukaryota; Metazoa; Chordata; Actinopteri; Salmoniformes; Salmonidae
Description: lncRNA (ENSSSAG00000099177.1)
Source: RNAcentral
UGAAGAUUGUGAUUGAUUGUAUCUGAUGGUGUCCGAUGCAGAAAUAUCCUUCCAAUCUUCUUUGUUACCUUUUUAUUUGAGCGGAAAGACAGAUAGAGAGAGAGAGAAAGGUAGAGAGACAGGGCCAGAGAGAGUGAGAGAGAGAAAGAGAAAGGUAGAUAGAGAGAGAGGGGUAAAGGUAGAGAGACAGGGCCAGAGACAGAGAGAGAGAGAGAGAGAGAAAGGUAGAUAGAGAGAAGUGUUGUGUCUAAGGAAGGUUUAGAGUCGACUAAAUACAUUCUGGGCUACACAAAAGAAGCUCCGUACAAUGUGUAUCAUAUUUGACGGAGGGGUUGUCAAAGCACCAUUUUCAUUUUUGUUCCACUUACUUACAGAAAUACUUUUCUCGAUACCAAACAUUCACACAAUUGAAGUUUGAGUUAUUUAUUAUUUAGCUAUGUUUUCGUGUUUUUUUUUUUGCAUCAGGAUGUACUGUAUUAUAGAAUCACAAGAUCAUAUUCAGGAAAUAUUAGGUGUACUGUUGCUUUUAUGUAAGAUAAUUGAAACCAAAAUGAAUCCAAGACUUCUUCGGGCAUCUUCUCUUUCAUGCAUCACCUUUUGUCAUAGCAACUAUUGGUUACCAUCCUCUUAAGUCGAUAGCAUGUACAGUAUUGGCCCUUUUUAAAAGAUACCUUGACUCAAUAAUGGGUGUGUAUAGCAUCCUCACAGUAGCAUAGAUAAACACAGACAGACAUUUACACUAAUCCUGGUUGAAGAAUAAGACCAU